Molecule: transfer RNA, 104 nt
Organism: Sordaria macrospora k-hell
Lineage: Eukaryota; Fungi; Ascomycota; Sordariomycetes; Sordariales; Sordariaceae
Rfam family: tRNA
About the family: Transfer RNA (tRNA) molecules are approximately 80 nucleotides in length. Their secondary structure includes four short double-helical elements and three loops (D, anti-codon, and T loops).
Source: Rfam
GGGCGGAUAGUUCAGUGGUAGAAUGUCUGUUUCGCAAUUUGCCUUGUUUGUCCAAGUGCAGCAGCUCUUACAGAAGGUCCCGUGUUCAAACCACGGUUCGUCCA